GAGAAUGCCGGUAUGAGUAACGAUUCGUAGUGAGAAUCUACGACGCCUAUUGGGGAAGGUUUCCUGGGCAAGGUUCGUCCACCCAGGGUUAGUCAGGACCUAAGGCGAGGCUGAAAAGCGUAGUCGAUGGACAACAGGUUAAUAUUCCUGUACUUUCUUUAAUUGUGAUGGAGUGACGGAGAAGGAUAAGCAUACCUAUUAUUGGAUUUAGGGGUAAGUAGUUACUGGUGAUUGUAGGCAAAUCCGCAAUCUAUAACUGGGAGCUAUGAUGCAUAGGACUUUUGUCUGAAUUUGCCAAUUCCAUGCUUCCUAGAAAAGUUUCUAAACUUAAUUUUAUUGAAACCUGUACCAAGAACGGACACACGUCCCCAAGAUGAGUAUUCUAAGGCGAGCGAGAAAACUAGUGUUAAGGAACUCUGCAAAAUGACCCCGUAAGUUCGCAAGAAGGGGCGCCUAUGGUAACACAUAGGCCACAGUAAAUUAUGAGGGGCAACUGUUUAUCAAAAACACAACUCUCUGCUAAACCGCAAGGUGAUGUAUAGGGGGUGAAGCCUGCCCAGUGCCCGAAGGUUAAGUGGAUGCGUUAGCUUAUGCGAAGCGUUGAAAUGAAGCCCGGGUGAACGGCGGCCGUAACUAUAACGGUCCUAAGGUAGCGAAAUUCCUUGUCGGCUAAAUACUGACCUGCACGAAAGGCAUAAUGAUCUCUCAACUGUCUCAACACUAGACUCGGUGAAAUUAUGGUCCCAGUGAAAACGCUGGGUUCCCGCAUCAAGACGAA
RNAcentral lists this ribosomal RNA (778 nucleotides) under Mycoplasmopsis bovis. RNAcentral describes it as "partial 23S ribosomal RNA". It matches the Rfam family "Bacterial large subunit ribosomal RNA", at positions 1290 to 2084 of the family's 2925-position model. The record is from RNAcentral. Lineage: Bacteria; Bacillati; Mycoplasmatota; Mycoplasmoidales; Metamycoplasmataceae.